RNAcentral lists this long non-coding RNA (5851 nucleotides) under Marmota monax (woodchuck). The stretch from base 1558 to 1626 matches the Rfam family "tRNA". The record is from RNAcentral. Lineage: Eukaryota; Metazoa; Chordata; Mammalia; Rodentia; Sciuridae.
GGAAGAUCUGGGGAAAGUGUUCCAGGCCAGGGGUCAUCACGUGCAAAGUCCCCAGGCAGGUCCAGUGUGUGUGCCGGAAGCUGGGACGUCCCGGUGGAGCCAGAGCCGGAAGUACUGGUUGGUCCUUUUCUGAUCCAAUGUUUGGGGAGGGGCUGGAGGGGCCUCACUCUUAGGACCAGGUCUUCAGACAGGAAACCACACACUGGAAGGCUGUUUCUAGACAGAAAAAGGAACUACCCUCCCUCUGAGGGUCUGCUGGUCCUUACAGUGGAGGCAGCUGAGAGCCGCGGGGCCCCUGGACAGAGCCAGCCAUGGGAAGGCAGUGGGCUCCUGCCGAGUGUAGGUGCUGAGUGGGAGAGAGGUCACUCAGCCCAUGCAGGGAUCAUCACAGCCCUGCGCAGUGCCAGAGGGGGAGGAUGGGCUAGGAUAGGGAGCCAAGGUGGUCAGGAAGGUCAGGAGGCCUGAGCCCUGAGGCCUGAUAGGAGCAGCACCCCCAGGUCAACUUUGAAAAGGGAGAGGCUCCAAAGUGAGACGCUCUGUCAUGUGGAGACUCCUUCAGCCACCUCAGAGGCCUGGGACUGGGGUCUGUUCCAGGCAUCCCUCCUUCUGGCCUCUGAGGACGUCACCCUGGGAGACCCCACAGGAUUAUAUCCUAGACCUUUGCCAUCUCCCCAGUCCUCUUGAGGAGGCUUCNUAAGUGAGGUGGAGCCAUUGGAGGGUUUAGAGUGGGGUCUGAUGUGGUCUCUGUUUUAACCACAUUCCCCUGGUGCCCCUGAGUCGAGGGCAAGAGCAGGGAAGCCAACGGUAGCCAUGCAGGUGGACGAGGCAGGGCCUGACCAGGGUCGGGGCAGUGGAGGAAUAAUAGCAGACUGGACUCCAGGUUGUCUAGAGGCAGAGUGGACAUAGGAUGUGGGGCUUGAGAAGAGAAGAGCCCAAAACGUGGCCUUCCAUGGCAUGGACAGCCCUGGCGGUAUUGAGCAGCCCUCUCCACUUCUUCCCAGCCCCUUCCCUCCCACCCAGGAAAUCCAGCAGCCCUUCAUUCCCUUUGCCUCCCGACAGCAUCUGUCAGCUGCCGUCUGCCUGUACAGAUUUUUCAGUUUUGGACAUUUGAUUAAAAUGGAAGUGCCCAGGGGGCUGGGGUUGUGGCUGAACAGUAGAGGCUCACCUAGCAUGGGCGAGGCCCUGAGUUCCAUCCUCAGCACCACCACAUAAAAAAUAAAUAAGUUAAUAAUUAAAGAUAUUUGUCUAACUACAAUUAAUAAAUUUAAAAAAAUAGGAAAAAAAAAAAAAAAAAAAAAGGAAUUGUCCAGGUAGGUGUGGUGGCACAGUAAUCCCAGCAGCUGGGGAGGCUGAGGAGGGAGGAUCGUGAGUUCAGAGCCAGCCUCAGCAAAAGCAAGGUGCUAAGCAACUCAGUGAGACCCUGUCUCUAAAUAAAAUAUUUUAAAAAACAGCUGGGGAUGAGGCUCAGUGGCUAAGCACCCCUGGUUUCCAUCUGGUACCAAAACCAACCAACUAACCAACAAAAAAACCCCCACAUAAAACAAAAAACAAGGGGCUGGGGUUGUGGCUCAGUGGUAGAGCACUUGCCUGGCACAUGUGAGGCCCUGGGUUCGAAUCUCAGCACCACAUAUAAGCAAAUAAAUAAGUGAAAAUCCCUGAAUAGCUAAUAAAAAUAUUUAAAACAAAACAAAACAAAACAAACCAUCUGUCCAUUCCUUCCAGGGAUUUCAGAGAUUUCCUAAGUAGCCCUCAGGACAGGCUCCACCUCUUCCUUGGAGGAGCCCGGGAAGCAGGAAGCAGGGAAGGCCACACCCGGAUACGCUGGCUGAGUCCCUGCUUACUGAGGGGCCGAGGCUCUGCUCUCCCUCCCACCAGGAAGGGCCCCCACCCCAGGGGCUGCACCCAGGGCAGAUGCUUCAGCCCAUGGGAGGGGAGUCUGUGGAGAUGGCAGGUGGGCGUCAGGCCUCACCUUCACUGUGGCCUCCUAGCAGUCCUAGAGGUGACCCUUGCAGGGAGGACCCACAGAGCCUUCCCCUCAGGGCCAGGCACAGAACAGGACACGCAGGCCCUGUUGGGGAGGAGUCUCGGGAGGGAGAGAUAACAAACCAGAACCCAGAGUCCCACAACCGUAAUUGAGAUAAGGCUGCGACGGGGACUUGGGGGGUGGGUUGUCGAAGGCUCUGGGGGAGGUGACAUGAGGUGGAAGAUCUGGGGAAAGUGUUCCAGGCCAGGGGUCAUCACGUGCAAAGUCCCCAGGCAGGUCCAGUGUGUGUGCCGGAAGCUGGGACGUCCCGGUGGAGCCAGAGCCGGAAGUACUGGUUGGUCCUUUUCUGAUCCAAUGUUUGGGGAGGGGCUGGAGGGGCCUCACUCUUAGGACCAGGUCUUCAGACAGGAAACCACACACUGGAAGGCUGUUUCUAGACAGAAAAAGGAACUACCCUCCCUCUGAGGGUCUGCUGGUCCUUACAGUGGAGGCAGCUGAGAGCCGCGGGGCCCCUGGACAGAGCCAGCCAUGGGAAGGCAGUGGGCUCCUGCCGAGUGUAGGUGCUGAGUGGGAGAGAGGUCACUCAGCCCAUGCAGGGAUCAUCACAGCCCUGCGCAGUGCCAGAGGGGGAGGAUGGGCUAGGAUAGGGAGCCAAGGUGGUCAGGAAGGUCAGGAGGCCUGAGCCCUGAGGCCUGAUAGGAGCAGCACCCCCAGGUCAACUUUGAAAAGGGAGAGGCCCCAAAGUGAGAAGCUCUGUCAUGUGGAGACUCCUUCAGCCACCUCAGAGGCCUGGGACUGGGGUCUGUUCCAGGCAUCCCUCCUUCUGGCCUCUGAGGAGGUCACCCUGGGAGACCCCACAGGAUUAUAUCCUAGACCUUUGCCAUCUCCCCAGUCCUCUUGAGGAGGCUUCUUAGAGAGUGAAAAAUGUUCCAGAAAGAGUUUAAAUGAAGGGUGGAGUGGACCAAGUGGGGACAGGGAUGAGGCAGGCAUUUCCUGACAACAGACCCUCCACCCUGUCACAUAGGGAGGGUCUCAAGGUUGCUGUAAAAUAGGGCCAGGCCAAAGAGGAACCUGUGGGGUGAGGACUCCUUAGGGUGGCCUUCCUGUGCAAGCAGAGGUCACCCACGCUGCCCUGGUCCCCUAAGAUGGCUUUGGUGGCAGCAGCUGAGCUGGCUGGUGUUGGGGGAAUCAGGCCUGAAAGCUAGGGGCCCGGCAGGGAGGCCGCCCCCUCCCAGCACGUGGGCCAGCAGGGAUGCAAAGGGAACCUUAGCUGUAGAAACACAGUGCUCAGCGUCCCAGAGUGGUGGGCUCUGCACACCUUCCUCUUUCUCUCUUCUUGGUUAUUUAAUCAUCUCUCUUUUUUUCAGUAUUGAGGAUGGGACUCAAGGUCUUUUUUUUUUUUUUCAGAGAGAGAUAAUUUUAAUAUUUAUUUUUUAGUUCUUGGCGGACACAACAUCUUUGUUUGUAUGUGGUGCUGAGGAUCGAACCCGGGCCAGGCAGCAGGCAUGCCAGGCGAGCGCGCUACUGCUUGAACCACAUCCACAGCCCCUCAAGGUCUUGUGCAUGUGAAUCAAGUGCUCUACCACUGAGCUGAACCCCACACUCUUUGUUUUUUAUUUUGAAACAGGGUCUCACUAAAUUGCCUAGGCUGGCCUCGAACUUGUGAUUCUCUUGCCUCAGCCUCCCCAAGAGGCCAGGAGUACAGGUGUGUGCCACUGCAUCCAGUUCAUCUCUAUUAUUAUUAUUUUUUUUUCAUUUAUUUUUUAGGUAGAUGGACAGAACACAAUGCCUUUAUUUUUAUGUGGCGCUGAGGAUCGAACCCAGGUCCCACCCAUGCUAGGCAAGCACUCUACCGCUGAGCCACAAUCCCAGUCCUUAUUAUUGUUUUUUUCAGCACCAGGGUCUGAAUCUAGGGCCUUAUACAUGCUGAGCAAGUGCUGUACUGCAGAGCUAUAUCCCAGCACUUUAAAAAAAAAAUUUAUUUUGAGACCGUUUCCUGCAAAAUUGCCCAGGAUAGAUUUAAACCUUCAAUCCUCCUGCCUCAGUCUAUCUACUGAGUAGCUGAGUGCCAUUGUGUACCACCAUGCCUGAGUCCUCUCAUUUCUUUUUUACUUUUUUUUGGCGGGGGGUGGGGGGGAGAUGGGGCUUGAACACAGAGGUGCUUAAACACUGAGCCAUUUUUUAUUCUGUAUUUUGAGACAGAUUCUCACUAAGUUGUUUAAAGCUUUGCUAAAUUGGUGAGACUGGCCCUAAAUUUGUGAUCCUCCUGCCUCAGCCUCCUGAGUCACUGGGACUACAUGUGAAUGCCACUGCACCUGGCUUGCUCAUUAUUUAUUUAUUUAUUUAUUUAUAUUUUUCAGAGACACAGGUUUAUUGAAGAAGGAGGUGCACAUUCAAGGGAGAAGGCAGGUUAUCUCCAGGGGCAGAGACAGUCUCUAUUCUUUAAACAGCUUUAUUGAGAUAUGAUUCACAAACCAUAUGAUUCAUUCACUCGUUGUACAAUUUAGUGGUUUCUAAUGCAUUCACAGACCUGUGCAAGCAACACCACAGUCGAUGUUAGAACAUGUCAUCAUCUCAGAGAGAUAUGCCAGGGGCUGGGUGCGGCUCAGUGGUAGAGAACAUGUGUAGCAGCAUGGGGCCCCUGGUUGCAUGCCAUGAGCAGUUGCUCCCACUCCCCUGCCCCUCUGCCCCUGGCUACACCACUCUACUUCCCAUCUCCACACAGUUGCCUAUUGCAGACAUUUCAUGUAAGUGGAAUCACGUACUGUGUGUUCUCCUGAGACUGGCUUCUUUCAUUUAACAUAAUGCUUUCAAACUUCAUCUGUGUUGAAGUGGGUGUUCAACUUCUUCCUAAAGAUGAAUUGUAUUCCAAUGCACCACAUUUGGUUUACUCAUCGGAUGAUGGGCAUUUAGUUUUUUCUACUUCAUAGCUAUUAUGAAUAAUUUCUAUGGACAUUUGCAUGUGAGUUUUCUUGUGGACAUAGGUUUUAUUUCUUUUUUUCCUUUUGCAGUACUGGAGGUGGAACCUGGAGAACCUGGCACAUGAGAGGCAAGCACUCCACCACCAAGCUGCACCUCAGCCCAGCUGUUUUUAGUUCUUUGGGUAUAUAUUUAGGAUUGGGAUUUCUGGGUCAACUGGUGGCUGUCUCUGUAACUUUUUGAGGAAUCACCAGAAGGCUUUUGCCUAGCAGCUGCUCCGUUUUGCAUUCCCACCAGCAGUGGGUUCCACUUUCUCCAACACUGGUUAUUGUCUUUCUUGUAAUGGCCACCCUCAUGGGCAGGAAGUGGUCUCUCAUUGUAGGUUUUUUGUUUUUCUCUUUCUGUUGUCUUGCAUAUGCCAGGAUCCUACUCCACCAUUGAGCUGUACCUCCCGCCCUUCAUUGGAGUUUUGAUUUACAUUUCCCUAGGUUGUGAGAGUUCUUCUAUAUUCAGAAGUCAUUUGGGGGAUUGAACUGAGGAGCACUUUACCACUGAGCUAUUUUUUUUUUUUCUUUUUUAGCAGUGUCAGGGAUUGAACCUAGGGCCUUGUGCAUGCAAGGCAAGCACUCUACCAGCUGAGCUCUAUACCCAGACCACCACUGAGCUUUAUUCCCAGCCUUUUUAAUUCUGAGGCAGGGUCUUGCUAAAUCGCUGAGUUUCUCACUAAAUUGCUGAAGUUGGCCUCGAGGUUGUGAUCUUUUUCCCACAGCCUCCCAAAUUGCUGGGAUUACAGGUGUGCAUCACCAUGUCCACCAAGAAAAGGUCUAAUAUCUAUGAAGUCCAGUUUAUCUAUUUUUUUAUUUUGCUUUGGGCAUUACUAUUAUUUAUUUUUGGUUGUACUGAGGAUAGAACCCUGAACCUGGUGUAACCAGGCAAGUACUCUACGAC